Drosophila pseudoobscura is the source of this 1059-nucleotide long non-coding RNA. RefSeq lists it as uncharacterized. NCBI's taxonomy places the organism in Eukaryota, Metazoa, Arthropoda, Insecta, Diptera, Drosophilidae. The record is from RefSeq and is a predicted model, not a curated record. The transcript has 4 exons.
AGCUUUCGAAUGCAUUGAAUUUCAAUUGUUUAUGAAUAAAAUGUACAAAUAACACAAGCAGCAGGUUGACGAAGACUGACUCAAGUGUUGCAGCAUGCGUACAAGCUGGUACAGAAUCGUGCGUUACCCAACACUGGUGGCGGAUGGCUCUGGAACUUUCUGGAAGAUAUUGGUAAAAGAAGAAAUCGAUUGAGUGUCCACAUUUGACGACCCAUUGGCCAACCGUUUGUGUGUUCCUCACCGGCGUUUUUGUGCCGGGCUCAAUAAAAGCGCCCAUUGCCCACCAUCACGUCAACUGGAACCCACGAGAUGUCUUCAAUGAAACAGCUAAGCAGCUAUUUUGCCAUUUUGCGAAGCUGCUGAAUGUUAAAGAUUUAGUUGCCAGAGGUCCAGACGGAUGAAGUGCGCCUGUCACGCGCAGCCGUUGCUCAGCUCAUGGCGCGGAGCCACCGCUUUUCUACAGAUUGCUGAAGACGCUAUGGAGAAAAGCAUUGCAAUCUCGCAGCUCAUGGCUUAUAAUAUAAAGCUCUUCAUGUAUGAUACCCAGAAGAACAACUUUAUCCAUUGGCACACAUUUGAUCGAUACAUAAAGGACUAAAGGAACAUUGAUCUAUCGGUACAGCGUCCAUCAAUGAUAUACGGGAAUGGCAGCUCCCAGGAGAAACUCAACAAGAUAUUUCCCACUCUAAAAAGGAUCCGAGUCAGUCGCAUAAUGAUAGACUUGUGCGGGGAAAUCCAAAGGAAUGGUAAUCAAAGAUUUUUGCCAGUCUUAUGGCAGCUGGGAAAUGAUUACAUGGACUGUUGCAAGCGUGGAGCUGCUUUGGUAUACCCUUGCCAGACAGAGAGGCCUGACUGAUUAAAAGCCAGAAAGCAGGAGACGCUCUUAGGAUGCUGUGUUGGUCACAGGAAUACCUGAAAGUAUGCCGAAGGUGGCCAUAGGCCAAACCUCUUUCGGCCAUCGAAAUCGAUGUUGUGUAGAAGCAAAGGCUAUAGACUAUAGGUCAAACGCAUAAAACCCAAAUUUAAUAAAAAAGGCACCGUCAAUGUCUUAAAACAGUC